Long non-coding RNA from Cornus florida, 1358 nucleotides. RefSeq lists it as uncharacterized. Lineage: Eukaryota; Viridiplantae; Streptophyta; Magnoliopsida; Cornales; Cornaceae. The transcript has 6 exons. The record is from RefSeq and is a predicted model, not a curated record.
AUUUUAAUCAUUUUUUUUCCUAAAUCUAGACAUGUGUGUGUGUGUGUGUGUGUUUGUGUAUUGAUCUGUUGUUUAAUCGAAUCCUGAUUUUUUUUUUUUUCAUAUUUGAUGAAUACAUGACUCAUCUAUGCGAUUUUGAUGUUAAAGUUGGGCCAUAGGAGUUCAAUUUUUGAAGAGGAUGCCUACAAACAGGCUAGGGAUUUCAAUUUUGUUAAUGUAUUUACGAAAUUAGGGUUAGGACUUUGAUGUGUAGUACAAAACUGGGGUUAGGGUGGAGCAGCGACGCCAGUGAACCAGGUGUGGCAAGGCAUGAGUUUCAGUGAAGCUCUACUAUUCCGACAAGGUAUGAGUUUCAGACAGAGCAACGGUGGCACCGGAGGAGACUCGAGGAUUAAGAAGAGAAAUGUAAGAUUCUUCUACCUGUUUCUAUUUUUGUUGGUCUAAGUUACGAUUUUUAGAUCUUUUUUCAUUUUGUGUGGUUUCAGUCUAGCAUAUUUUAUUUUAUUUUAGUAUUUUUUUAUUUUUUUAUCGAUAACAUUUAUACAAAUUUCGCUGAUAUAUAUAUAUGUAUCGUUUUCUGUGCGUAUCGGCCUUGCCGACGUCGGAGGAGAAGUCCAGAAUUACCACCGCCAUUCGUCCCAGCCCUACACACCUCAACAGGCCUAGGGUGCGCGCGCUCUCUCUCUCAACACAACACUAACAUCACCUAACUAUAGGAAAAUAUCACUUGUUCACUGACUGAUAAGUGAAACAGAAUCGCAAAAAUAAGGAAGAGCUCUGAUUUCAAUUCUUGAUGGAGAAGAAGGCUACUGCAUUUCAACAAAGUAACAGGCUUCAUUAGGAACUGAUUGGACUCCCGACGGUGUCGAUCAUUCCGCAAGCGACCAGCGAAGAGGUUAGGGUUUUCAACCAGCGACCAUAAAUUGAAGUUGAAUCGAGCCACCAUGGACGACGUCCUCUAAAGUGGGUGCAAAAAGAGGACUAAGAGAGAGGAAUUGUAUUGAUGCUAACACAAGCUCAGUAAGAAAUAUGUGAAAAUUAUACAGGAUUGAUUAUCACCAGUUCAUUAGGAGCAGAAGAAUCAGAAUUUGUAUGAUUCCAUUCUAUAACAAAGCUACUUCAUUGGAUUUUGUAUAGUGAGCUGGUUUUUUGACAAGUGCAGACUGAACCUCAAGUGUUAGAAGGUUUAUCAAUUUUUCAACAGAAGUGUUAGGAAAUUGAUGAUUUUCUUGACAAAUAGAUUUACUUCCUGUUUUGGAACAUCGAUAAAUGUAGAAUUGUUUUGGCACAUUAAUAAAUGAUGAAUUGUAAAAAUAUUUUAACUCUUUUGAUAUGUUUAAUGGGAUAUGUUUUUUGAA